Molecule: ribosomal RNA, 253 nt
Filed under: uncultured bacterium
Lineage: Bacteria
Description: partial 16S ribosomal RNA
Rfam family: Bacterial small subunit ribosomal RNA
Source: RNAcentral
UACGUAGGGUGCAAGCGUUGUCCGGAAUUAUUGGGCGUAAAGAGCUCGUAGGCGGUCUGUUGCGUCGGCUGUGAAAACCCGGGGCUCAACCCCGGGCCUGCAGCCGAUACGGGCAGACUAGAGGUAGGUAGGGGAGAAUGGAAUUCCCGGUGUAGCGGUGAAAUGCGCAGAUAUCGGGAGGAACACCGGUGGCGAAGGCGGUUCUCUGGGCCUUACCUGACGCUGAGGAGCGAAAGCGUGGGGAGCGAACAGG